This 506-nucleotide ribosomal RNA is filed under the name uncultured bacterium. RNAcentral's name for it is "partial 16S ribosomal RNA". It matches the Rfam family "Bacterial small subunit ribosomal RNA", at positions 29 to 523 of the family's 1533-position model. The record is from RNAcentral.
AGUGAACGCUGGCGGUAGGCCUAACACAUGCAAGUCGAACGGCAGCACAGGAGAGCUUGCUCUCUGGGUGGCGAGUGGCGGACGGGUGAGGAAUACAUCGGAAUCUACUCUGUCGUGGGGGAUAACGUAGGGAAACUUACGCUAAUACCGCAUACGACCUACGGGUGAAAGCAGGGGACCUUCGGGCCUUGCGCGAUUGAAUGAGCCGAUGUCGGAUUAGCUAGUUGGCGGGGUAAAGGCCCACCAAGGCGACGAUCCGUAGCUGGUCUGAGAAGAUGAGCAGCCACACUGGAACUGAGCAACGGUCCAGACUCCUACGGGAGGCAGCAGUGGGGAAUAUUGGACAAUGGGCGCAAGCCUGAUCCAGCCAUACCGCGUGGGUGAAGUAGGCCUUCGGGUUGUAAAGCCCUUUUGUUGGGAAAGAAAUCCAGCUGGCUAAUACCCGGUUGGGAUGACGGUACCCAAAGAAUAAGCACCGGCUAACUUCGUGCCAGCCGCCGCGGUAA